CCAAUUACAUUCUUCAUAGUGAUUAGACAAUCACAUACUUUAUAAAGUUUUCCCCUGAUAUCUCCAGUAUCCAACUGUACCACUUAACCUUAAACUCUCAUUAAAUUUAAUGAGACCAAAUCUAAAUCUAAAGCACUAUGAUUCUCACUUCAUGUCUCCUCUUAGUCCCCUUUAAUACCUUAUACAAAUGUAAUUAACAAAGGAAAGAUAUGAAGGCAAAAUAAAGAGAGGAAUGUACACAGUCAAGCCCUUGAACAAUUAGAACAGCUGUGCCUACCAUUACUUCU
Molecule: long non-coding RNA, 287 nt
Organism: Phyllostomus discolor (pale spear-nosed bat)
Lineage: Eukaryota; Metazoa; Chordata; Mammalia; Chiroptera; Phyllostomidae
Exons: 3
Source: RefSeq, a predicted model, not a curated record